RNAcentral lists this ribosomal RNA (459 nucleotides) under uncultured bacterium. RNAcentral describes it as "partial 16S ribosomal RNA". It matches the Rfam family "Bacterial small subunit ribosomal RNA", at positions 338 to 795 of the family's 1533-position model. The record is from RNAcentral.
CCUACGGGUGGCAGCAGUGAGGAAUAUUGGUCAAUGGGCGGGAGCCUGAACCAGCCAAGCCGCGUGAGGGAAGAAGGUACAGCGUAUCGUAAACCUCUUUUGUCAGGGAACAAAGGCUGGGACUAGUCCCCGGAUGAGGGUACCUGAAGAAAAAGCAUCGGCUAACUCCGUGCCAGCAGCCGCGGUAAUACGGAGGAUGCGAGCGUAAUCCGGAUUUAUUGGGUUUAAAGGGUGCGCAGGCGGCCUGUUAAGUCAGCGGGAAAAGCCCGGGGCUCAACCCCGGCGAGCCGUUGAAACUGGCGGGCUGGAGUGGGAGAGAAGUACGCGGAAUGCGCGGUGUAGCGGUGAAAUGCUUAGAUAUCGCGCAGAACCCCGAUUGCGAAGGCAGCGUACCGGCUCCACACUGACGCUGAGGCACGAAAGCGUGGGUAUCGAACAGGAUUAGAUACCCCAGUAGUC